This 425-nucleotide ribosomal RNA is filed under the name Streptococcus mutans. RNAcentral describes it as "bacterial SSU rRNA". It matches the Rfam family "Bacterial small subunit ribosomal RNA", at positions 28 to 435 of the family's 1533-position model. The record is from RNAcentral. Lineage: Bacteria; Bacillati; Bacillota; Bacilli; Lactobacillales; Streptococcaceae.
GACGAACGCUGGCGGCGUGCCUAAUACAUGCAAGUGGGACGCAAGGAAACACACUGUGCUUGCACACCGUGUUUUCUUGAGUCGCGAACGGGUGAGUAACGCGUAGGUAACCUGCCUAUUAGCGGGGGAUAACUAUUGGAAACGAUAGCUAAUACCGCAUAAUAUUAAUUAUUGCAUGAUAAUUGAUUGAAAGAUGCAAGCGCAUCACUAGUAGAUGGACCUGCGUUGUAUUAGCUAGUUGGUAAGGUAAGAGCUUACCAAGGCGACGAUACAUAGCCGACCUGAGAGGGUGAUCGGCCACACUGGGACUGAGACACGGCCCAGACUCCUACGGGAGGCAGCAGUAGGGAAUCUUCGGCAAUGGACGAAAGUCUGACCGAGCAACGCCGCGUGAGUGAAGAAGGUUUUCGGAUCGUAAAGCUCUG